Non-coding RNA from Pelobates cultripes (western spadefoot toad), 603 nucleotides. The record is from the annotation of a GenBank genome assembly. Lineage: Eukaryota; Metazoa; Chordata; Amphibia; Anura; Pelobatidae.
GUCGGACUGGAGCUCUCUGCCCUUUACCAAUCCAGCCACGGGCCCAUCCAUCUGGCCCAUCAAGACUCACUCUCAUUUCAUCAGUCCAUAAAACCUUAGAAAAAUCAGUCCUGAGAUAUUUCUUGGCCCAGUCUUGACGUUUCAGCUUGUGUGUCUUGUUCAGUGGUGGUCGUCUUUCAGCCUUUCUUACCUUGGCCAUGUCUCUGAGUAUUGCACACCUUGCGCUUUUGGGCACUCCAGUGAUGUUGCAGCUCUGAAAUAUGGCCAAACUGGUGGCAAGUGGCAUCGUGGCAGCUGCACGCUUGACUUUUCUCAGUUCAUGGGCAGUUAUUUUGCGCCUUGGUUUUUCCACACGCUUCUUGCGACCCUGUUGACUAUUUUGAAUGAAACGCCUGAUUGUUCGAUGAUCACGCUUCAGAAGCUUUGCAAUUUUAAGAGUGCUGCAUCCCUCUGCAAGAUAUCUCACUAUUUUUGACUUUUCUGAGCCUGUCAAGUCCUUCUUUUGACCCAUUUUGCCAAAGGAAAGGAAGUUGCCUAAUAAUUAUGCACACCUGAUAUGGGGUGUUGAUGUCAUUAGACCACACCCCUUCUCAUUACAGAGAU